This 520-nucleotide ribosomal RNA is filed under the name uncultured Glomus. Its description in RNAcentral is "SSU rRNA". It matches the Rfam family "Eukaryotic small subunit ribosomal RNA", at positions 569 to 1087 of the family's 1831-position model. The record is from RNAcentral. Lineage: Eukaryota; Fungi; Glomeromycota; Glomeromycetes; Glomerales; Glomeraceae.
AGCAGCCGCGGUAAUUCCAGCUCCAAUAGCGUAUAUUAAAGUUGUUGCAGUUAAAAAGCUCGUAGUUGAAUUUCGGGGUUAGUAGGCUGGUCGUGCCACUGGUACGUACUGGUCUCACUGAUUCCUCCUUCCUGAUGAACUGUAAUGCCAUUAAUUUGGUGUUGCAGGGAAACUGGACUGUUACUUUGAAAAAAUUUAGAGUGUUUAAAGCAAGCUAACGCUUGAAUACAUUAGCAUGGAAUAAUGAAAUAGGACGUUCGAUCCUAUUUUGUUGGUUUCUAGGAUUGACGUAAUGAUUAAUAGGGAUAGUUGGGGGCAUUAGUAUUCAAUUGUCAGAGGUGAAAUUCUUGGAUUUAUUGAAGACUAACUACUGCGAAAGCAUUUGCCAAGGAUGUUUUCAUUAAUCAAGAACGAAAGUUAGGGGAUCGAAGACGAUCAGAUACCGUCGUAGUCUUAACCAUAAACUAUGCCGACUAGGAAUCAGACGAUGUUAAUUUUUUUCAAUGACUCGUUUGGCACC